GGAUGUGAGGGUGAUCUGCCUGCAGCACAUUACCCUAUUGAUUUACAGGGUUGAUUUGGCUGAUGCGGUUAGCUAGAAGGAUAUCCUCUUCAUCCCUCACAGCUCCAUGUGCAAACCUCCUGAAGCUCUGAGCUCAGCUAAAGAGGACAACCUUCCCCAAGUAAAGGAGGACCAGUCUUCUGUCAAAGGUAUAAGAGUAGCUACAUUCCCUCACUAGAACCUCCAAGCGAUCUUUCAUUUGUAUGAGAUGAAUUUUGAAAACUUAGUUAAUUGAUACAUAAUAAUUGUACAUAUGUAUGGGUCAUGAUGAUAGU
RNAcentral lists this small nuclear RNA (314 nucleotides) under Neotoma lepida (desert woodrat). RNAcentral describes it as "7SK RNA". It matches the Rfam family "7SK RNA". Rfam says of the family: 7SK was discovered as an abundant small nuclear RNA in the mid-70s but a possible function has only recently been suggested. Two independent studies have found that 7SK RNA binds the CDK9/cyclin T complex (known as elongation factor P-TEFb). Lineage: Eukaryota; Metazoa; Chordata; Mammalia; Rodentia; Cricetidae. The record is from Rfam by way of RNAcentral.